AGGCGGAUAGCUCAGUUGGGAGAGCGCAGCCCUUACAAGGCUGAGGUCGCAGGUUCGAUCCCUGUUCCGCCUA
This 73-nucleotide transfer RNA is filed under the name Nitrospinota bacterium. Its description in RNAcentral is "Nitrospinae bacterium tRNA-Val". It matches the Rfam family "tRNA". From Rfam's summary of the family: Transfer RNA (tRNA) molecules are approximately 80 nucleotides in length. The record is from RNAcentral. Lineage: Bacteria; Pseudomonadati; Nitrospinota.